GAACUCUGGUAUUGAUUGGUGCUUGCAUCAUGAUUUACAUUUGAGUGAGUGGCGAACUGGUGAGUAACACGUGGGAAACCUGCCCAGAAGCGGGGGAUAACACCUGGAAACAGAUGCUAAUACCGCAUAACAACUUGGACCGCAUGGUCCGAGUUUGAAAGAUGGCUUCGGCUAUCACUUUUGGAUGGUCCCGCGGCGUAUUAGCUAGAUGGUGGGGUAACGGCUCACCAUGGCAAUGAUACGUAGCCGACCUGAGAGGGUAAUCGGCCACAUUGGGACUGAGACACGGCCCAAACUCCUACGGGAGGCAGCAGUAGGGAAUCUUCCACAAUGGACGAAAGUCUGAUGGAGCAACGCCGCGUGAGUGAAGAAGGGUUUCGGCUCGUAAAACUCUGUUGUUAAAGAAGAACAUAUCUGAGAGUAACUGUUCAGGUAUUGACGGUAUUUAACCAGAAAGCCACGGCUAACUACGUGCCAGCAGCCGCGGUAAUACGUAGGUGGCAAGCGUUGUCCGGAUUUAUUGGGCGUAAAGCGAGCGCAGGCGGUUUUUUAAGUCUGAUGUGAAAGCCUUCGGCUCAACCGAAGAAGUGCAUCGGAAACUGGGAAACUUGAGUGCAGAAGAGGACAGUGGAACUCCAUGUGUAGCGGUGAAAUGCGUAGAUAUAUGGAAGAACACCAGUGGCGAAGGCGGCUGUCUGGUCUGUAACUGACGCUGAGGCUCGAAAGUAUGGGUAGCAAACAGGAUUAGAUACCCUGGUAGUCCAUACCGUAAACGAUGAAUGCUAAGUGUUGGAGGGUUUCCGCCCUUCAGUGCUGCAGCUAACGCAUUAAGCAUUCCGCCUGGGGAGUACGGCCGCAAGGCUGAAACUCAAAGGAAUUGACGGGGGCCCGCACAAGCGGUGGAGCAUGUGGUUUAAUUCGAAGCUACGCGAAGAACCUUACCAGGUCUUGACAUACUAUGCAAAUCUAAGAGAUUAGACGUUCCCUUCGGGGACAUGGAUACAGGUGGUGCAUGGUUGUCGUCAGCUCGUGUCGUGAGAUGUUGGGUUAAGUCCCGCAACGAGCGCAACCCUUAUUAUCAGUUGCCAGCAUUAAGUUGGGCACUCUGGUGAGACUGCCGGUGACAAACCGGAGGAAGGUGGGGAUGACGUCAAAUCAUCAUGCCCCUUAUGACCUGGGCUACACACGUGCUACAAUGGAUGGUACAACGAGUUGCGAACUCGCGAGAGUAAGCUAAUCUCUUAAAGCCAUUCUCAGUUCGGAUUGUAGGCUGCAACUCGCCUACAUGAAGUCGGAAUCGCUAGUAAUCGCGGAUCAGCAUGCCGCGGUGAAUACGUUCCCGGGCCUUGUACACACCGCCCGUCACACCAUGAGAGUUUGUAACACCCAAAGUCGGUGGGGUAACCUUUUAGGAACCAGCCGCCUAAGGUGGGAC
RNAcentral lists this ribosomal RNA (1435 nucleotides) under Lactiplantibacillus plantarum. RNAcentral describes it as "bacterial SSU rRNA". It matches the Rfam family "Bacterial small subunit ribosomal RNA". Lineage: Bacteria; Bacillati; Bacillota; Bacilli; Lactobacillales; Lactobacillaceae. The record is from RNAcentral.